ACAAAUUAGAGUGCUUAAAGCAGGCUAAAAUAUCUGCCUGAAUAGUGGUGCAUGGAAUGAUAAAACAGGACCUCAGUUCUAUUUUGUUGGUUUUAGGAAUAUGAGGUAAUGAUCAAUGUGGACUGGCGGGGGCAUUCGUAUUGCGACGUUAGAGGUGAAAUUCUUGGAUCGUCGCAAGACGCACUAGAGCGAAAGCAUUUGCCAAGUAUGUCUUAAUUGAUCAAGAACGAAAGUUAGAGGUUCGAAGGCGAUCAGAUACCGCCCUAGUUCUAACCAUAAACGAUGCCAGCCAGCGAUCCGCCGAUGUUCCUUUAAUGACUCGGCGGGGAGCUUCUACUCGGGAAACCAAAGCUUUUGGGUUCCGGGGGAAGUAUGGUUGCAAAGCUGAAACUUAAAGGAAUUGACGGAAGGGCACCACCAGGAGUGGAGCCUGCGGCUUAAUUUGACUCAACACGGGAAACCUCACCAGGCCAGGACAUUGGAAGGAUUGACAGAUUGAUAGCUCUUUCUUGAUUCAGUGGGUAGUGGUGCAUGGCCGUUCUUAGUUGGU
This 550-nucleotide ribosomal RNA is filed under the name Planaeschna milnei. RNAcentral's name for it is "SSU rRNA". It matches the Rfam family "Eukaryotic small subunit ribosomal RNA", at positions 761 to 1302 of the family's 1831-position model. The record is from RNAcentral. Lineage: Eukaryota; Metazoa; Arthropoda; Insecta; Odonata; Aeshnidae.